RNAcentral lists this ribosomal RNA (322 nucleotides) under uncultured eukaryote. RNAcentral describes it as "partial 18S ribosomal RNA". It matches the Rfam family "Eukaryotic small subunit ribosomal RNA", at positions 1470 to 1796 of the family's 1831-position model. The record is from RNAcentral.
CCCUUAGAUGUUCUGGGCCGCACGCGUGCUACACUGAGUAAAUCAAUGGGUAAGGGAACACGAAAGUGCAACCUAAUCUUGAAAUUUGCUCGUGAUGGGGAUCGACGGUUGCAAUUUUCCGUCGUGAACGAGGAAUACCUUGUAGGCGCGUGUCAUCACCACGCGCCGAAUACGUCCCUGCCCUUUGUACACACCGCCCGUCGCUCCUACCGAUUGAGUGAUCCGGUGAGGCUCUGGGACCUGGACGGAAAGAGCGUUUCGCUUGUUCUGUUUGGGAAACUUGGUCGAACCUUAUCAUUUAGAGGAAGGAGAAGUCGUAACA